This 437-nucleotide ribosomal RNA is filed under the name uncultured Clostridium sp. RNAcentral describes it as "partial 16S ribosomal RNA". It matches the Rfam family "Bacterial small subunit ribosomal RNA", at positions 341 to 792 of the family's 1533-position model. The record is from RNAcentral. Lineage: Bacteria; Bacillati; Bacillota; Clostridia; Eubacteriales; Clostridiaceae.
ACGGAAGGCAGCAGUGGGGGAUAUUGCACAAUGGAGGGAACUCUGAUGCAGCAACGCCGCGUGAGGGAAGACGGUCUUCGGAUUGUAAACCUAAGUUAUCAGGGACGAAAGAAAUGACGGUACCUGAAGAGAAAGCUCCGGCUAACUACGUGCCAGCAGCCGCGGUAAUACGUAGGGAGCGAGCGUUGUCCGGAUUUACUGGGUGUAAAGGGUGCGUAGGCGGGUUUGCAAGUCAGGCGUGAAAUCCCGGGGCUUAACUCCGGGGCUGCGCUUGAAACUGUAGAUCUUGAGUGAAGUAGAGGCAAGCGGAAUUCCCAGUGUAGCGGUGAAAUGCGUAGAUAUUGGGAGGAACACCAGUGGCGAAGGCGGCUUGCUGGGCUUUAACUGACGCUGAGGCACGAAAGUAUGGGGAGCAAACAGGAUUAGAUACCCUGGUA